This 427-nucleotide ribosomal RNA is filed under the name uncultured bacterium. Its description in RNAcentral is "bacterial SSU rRNA". It matches the Rfam family "Bacterial small subunit ribosomal RNA", at positions 355 to 774 of the family's 1533-position model. The record is from RNAcentral.
UGGGGAAUUUUGGACAAUGGUCGCAAGCCUUAUCCAGCAAUGCCGCGUGCAGGAUGAAGGCCUUCUGGUUGUAAACUGCUUUUGUACGGAUUGAAAAGGUCUUCCCUAAUACGUUGGGCUCAUGACGGUACCGUAAGAAUAAGCACCGGCUAACUACGUGCCAGCAGCCGCGGUAAUACGACUGGUGCGAGCGUUAAUCGGAAUUACUGGGCGUAAAGCGUGCGCAGGCGGUUAUAUAAGACAGAUGUGAAAUCCCCGGGCUCAACCUGGGACCUGCAAUUGUGACUGUAUAGCCAGAGUACGGUAGAGGCGGAAGGAAUACCGCGUGUAGCAGUGAAAUGCGUAGAUAUGCGGAGGAACACCGAUGGCGAAGGCAAUCCACUGGACCUGUACUGACGCUCAUGCACGAACGCGUGGGGAGCAAACA